RNAcentral lists this ribosomal RNA (497 nucleotides) under uncultured bacterium. Its description in RNAcentral is "partial 16S ribosomal RNA". It matches the Rfam family "Bacterial small subunit ribosomal RNA", at positions 27 to 507 of the family's 1533-position model. The record is from RNAcentral.
GGGGGGGGGGGGGGGGGGGGGGGGGGCGGGCGGGGCGGGCGAGCGGACGAGAAGCGGGCUUCGCUGAGGUUAGCGGCGGACGGGUGAGUAACACGUGGAUAACCUACCUAUAAGACUGGGAUAACUUCGGGAAACCGGAGCUAAUACCGGAUGAUAUUUUGAACCGCAUGGUUCAAAAGUGAAAGACGGUCUUGCUGUCACUUAUAGAUGGAUCCGCGCUGCAUUAGCUAGUUGGUAAGGUAACGGCUUACCAAGGCAACGAUGCAUAGCCGACCUGAGAGGGUGAUCGGCCACACUGGAACUGAGACACGGUCCAGACUCCUACGGGAGGCAGCAGUAGGGAAUCUUCCGCAAUGGGCGAAAGCCUGACGGAGCAACGCCGCGUGAGUGAUGAAGGUCUUCGGAUCGUAAAACUCUGUUAUUAGGGAAGAACAUAUGUGUAAGUAACUGUGCACAUCUUGACGGUACCUAAUCAGAAAGCCACGGCUAACUACGUG